This 315-nucleotide long non-coding RNA is filed under the name Pelobates cultripes (western spadefoot toad). Lineage: Eukaryota; Metazoa; Chordata; Amphibia; Anura; Pelobatidae. The record is from RNAcentral.
GGGAGGUGCUUGGUAUCCACUCCUAGCCUACUUAAGGCACACCCCUUACCUUGAUCCUUACCGUUCGAAGUCAGCGUUGAAUGAGCAUCCACUUCCGGGUUCUCUCAGACGCCAUCUUGGUUUUUCAGUAUCCACAAGGUUUUUCCCUGGCAAGCUGUGUCCCAGAAUCCUGUUUCUGGCCUUUUCUGCCCGUCCAGCUUCUUCUGACCCCGGUCAUUGUCGUAGAUCACGUCCCAGGGACUCCUAAACCGUAAGUUAGACCUACCUGUCACGCCAGGAUCGGUUCCCACGGCGUACGGUACAGCACGGAUCCUU